GGAACCGACCACUUCAGAGGCAGAAGAAACUUACUGUCUGCAAAUUCUUGUUCUGCUGCAUUGCCCAAUGAGGCUCUGAAAGAUAUAGUCCUGCAGAUUAUUGGAGAAAACAAGGGUGUUUGUGAACUUUUCCACCUCUUGGGAUCUCUGUGUAGGACAAGGAAGAUGAGCUGAUGGGCAAGGAGGCCAGACUAGCUGAACAGAGACCUUUGGCUUGAACUCAAGAACAAAAGGAAGGUUUAUGGUCUUUGGAAGAGCGGGCAAGCUACUUACGAUGAUUACAGAAAGGACAAGAUCUUCCAUUCUUCCACUCUAGGAGGAUUCCUCCUUGUCACCUCAGUUAAGGCAACUGGAAGACCGUGGUUCAGAGCUUCACUGUCACCAAAUCACAAGGCUGGCAAUCCAGGAUUCCUGGUUUUGAGUGGAGAAGUUCAUUUCACAGUGCUCCUAAACUAUGCAGAAGGAGCAUGUUGCAAGGCAGUAAAACCUGGUACCUUGUGAGCAGUGAAACCAGACAUCUGAUCUUUUUGAGAAAUGUGCAGUCUAAGCCUACACAGAUAAACUCCCUUGGUUCCUGCUUGAGACCUGGCCAGGCUUCGAGUGGAAUCCAAAAGGAGGAUGACUCCAGAUGUUUCUGCACCUUAAGCUAUCUCAUUCUACUUCCAGAAACAAGACAUGGCCAUGGUCAAAAGGAUGAAAAUUGCACAGAGGAGAGUGAAAAGUUUGGGGUCCAGAGAGGCUCUCCCCAAGGUACUGGCAGACCUGAUAAUUUCCACAGCUGUUCUUCAUAGAGGAGAAGUGAGAAAAGUGUUAGUGACCAUGGGGACCCAAAGCUCUGUCAAUAAAUAUUCAUUUUCCUAAAACUUAAGCCAAGGACCAGUAAAGCUUCCCCUCAGAGCACUAUCUUAUGCUCAGGAUCAGCAGCUAGCUCAGGAGAAUGUUACUCACUCCACUCCGUUCUUUCCAAAGUUCUUAGUAGCAGACCUGGAGCAAGAUGUACUGUCUUUUCUUUUUCAGUGAAAGCAGACAUGGGGCUCCCGCGUAGCCAAGAUCCUCAUAAAUCCAGACACCUCUUGGUCGAGAGAAUUAAGUUUGAAAUUUCCUUCCUGUGAGUGAGCCCUGGAAAAGAAGUAAAAAUACCCAGGACAAACAAAAGAGAUUGAAGCACCUUUAAUUAUGUUUUUCUUGCCCUUCAUAAUCACCAGACAAAGCAGAGCUCUAUAUAUGCAUGAUUAAUGUGAUAAUUUACCACCUAAUUUACAGCUAAG
Molecule: long non-coding RNA, 1268 nt
Organism: Gallus gallus (chicken)
Lineage: Eukaryota; Metazoa; Chordata; Aves; Galliformes; Phasianidae
Source: Ensembl